GUACCUAUAAGCGUUACCAAGUAACCAAGAGAAAACUCACGACAAAAAUAUUAAUCAACCACAAGAAGAGUAUACCAUAAAGCCUAAUGCUGAACAAACAAUUUUCAUAAACUUUCUCUGUACACAUCUAGGACAAGGAAUAGCGCACGCUUGCCAAUUAUCACCAAAAUCAGUGAGCAAAUUAAAUUUGUUUUCAUCGAACAGCUUACAAGAAUCCGGCGGAGGUGCAUCCACUCUGUCCAAAAUCAAUUUAGCGUCCUGUCCGCAUCCUGGCCUCGUGACAGUGAAAGAUGACCACGACAGUGACGACUUCGAUGAUAUCAAACACGCUGCAUCUUCAAUUGUCGACGGUGGUGUGGAACUGGAACCGAACGACAGGCCGAUACUGCUGGAUGUGCUUAGAAAGCGAACAUUUUCAGUCGAAGUACAUUCUCUUCAACGAACGCUACUAAGCUACAAAGAAAACAAAGACUGCUGCCAAAUUUACGCCAACGACGACUGCUACUCGUUAUUAAGUAGCAAUCGUGAUCUGAUCAAGGAUGCCGUUUCGCUUGGCCAUUGCCUCUGGAUAAAAUGAUUGAGCAUAUUUACUUAGCAUCGACAACAUUGGGAAGGUUCUUAUUAC
Sabethes cyaneus is the source of this 625-nucleotide long non-coding RNA. RefSeq lists it as uncharacterized. The transcript has 4 exons. Lineage: Eukaryota; Metazoa; Arthropoda; Insecta; Diptera; Culicidae. The record is from RefSeq and is a predicted model, not a curated record.